This is a long non-coding RNA of Apis florea (little honeybee), 2338 nucleotides long. The record is from RefSeq and is a predicted model, not a curated record. Lineage: Eukaryota; Metazoa; Arthropoda; Insecta; Hymenoptera; Apidae.
GAAUAAAAUGAAUGUGACAUUUAUAUAGAGUUAUAAUAAUUGAUUUUGCUUUUACAUUUGCAAUGUUUAAAAACACUGUCCGAUGGAGAAAUGCAAAACAACGGUAUACUUAUUCUUAGUUGCAAAACUACAGCGGGAUAUGGGCGUUGAACUUGUCCAUUGGUUAAGAAUAGACAUUGCGUCGCAGAAUUUCUAUUCGGGAGACUUACCUGAAGAGAAAAAUAUUGAUUUUCAAUAUAAUUACGUAAGUGGCCAUUUUCCAUUUCUGAGAAGAAAUCAAUAUCGUCAUAAGAAUCAAUCAACAUCGCCAAAAAUCAAAACAAUAUAGCAAAGCUUCUGAAUUAUAUGAACACGCUCUGUUGAUUCCUUUAUAUGCAUUAUAAGCGUUAAGGAAAGAUGAGAGCCGUUGUGAGAGAGCCACCUAUGCCAGUCGACCGUUCACUUUUUCUAAAAUUGGUCACAGACAGCCGGAUCUUGCCUAAGGAAAGCAGUAAAUCGCAACGAUCCUCUCUUCUGGAAGAGAUGUGCAGGGUGGGGCACAGUACAUUGCCAGAGAAAAUAAAUAACUCAUCCGUAUGAUGUGCACGCAAAAACAAUUUCAUUCAUCCUCGAGAGAAUUCAAAAUUUAUUUGAUCAUUAUUAUUUUGUCUGGAAAGAAAAAUAAUUAUUUUCGAAUCAGUGUGUGGUCAGAAUAAUUUUUUAAAUUAAUAUUUUUAGGCUAUGGUACUUGGACAGUCUACAAACACGUAAUAAUUAUCUGUUCAAUAAAAUGCAAAGUUUAUUCGUAUUUAUUGAAUAAGUUAGAAAGUUGUUAAACAAGUUUUAUCAAUUCUCAAUAACUUUGUUCAGAAUAUUCCUUCUAUGAUGAUGAUAUAAAUGACGACAUCAAGGAUGGAUAUCUACAAGGACAAAGGAAACUAAUUUAGGCUAAGGAUUAUUUUUUAAUAGAAUAAACACUUAUAUUAGUUGUAUAUACUUGCUUAGUAAUAUAUAGAGUGCCUAUAACGUGUAUUUCUGAGAACAAAUAAAUCACAUAUAAUUUACAAAAAGGAACUUGACGCGGCGUUUAAUAUUGCUCUUAUCGUCGGAUAAUGACAAGGUAUUUAUUAUCUAUAGGCAUACGAAUUUUUCAUUCAUUUUUUUCCUUUCUGAAGGACCAACAUUAUGAACGUGUACGUGUACACCUGCAAAAGAAACUUCAAGUUCGUCGCAUUUCCUUUUAAUUAAUUCCAAUUAAUAUAAACCUUAUUCAUUGUUCAUCGGAUAGAAUAGAAAAAGAACGUGAAGAUAAGAAUAUAUUAUUAUAUCAUCUUUUCUUUUUUUUCAAUUCUUCGUGUACCAUCGAGAAAAUUAUACACCGGGCAGUGAAAUACGUAGAAAAAUUGGCAAAAAUUUUGAAAAUUUAAUAUCGUUCCUUAUUCUUGAACAAUAUUUUUAGCCAUUAAUCUUUUACAUGUUAUUUUUUCUCUUAAACAGUGUACAAAGAAUAACGUUUCGUUAAUGCCAGAAACACGAGUAUUUCGAUGAAUUCGAUAGGAUACGUCUUCGAUCUUAAAUUUAAUCUUUCUCACCGUUUAUCUGCAAGUUUAAUACGAAGUGUCCAAAAUAUCGCAACUCCAGAGUAUUAUUAUCUACGAUAAAUUUAUUAAAGAUUUCUAUUUGCUCUAGCUGAACUUUCACGGUGUACCAAUAAUUUGUAUCGAAUACUAUUGUCUAGUUUAUGUCAAUUCAACGUAUGCCUAACAAUACGUCAAUUUUGGAAUUAUUUCAUUCCUCAACAAAUUCGUAAACACCUAAUUAUUCGAAAUAUUUUUAAAUAUUUAUUGUUCUGAGACGCACAGACGAAAGUACAGAGCCUGAGAACCAUCAAAAAUCCACGAAUUCACACGAUAGCGAGACAUUUCAUUUUUUUUUUUUUUUUCGUCGUCGAUCCUAUGACUACGAUAUAAAACGGCACGACGUCUACGUCUAAACUUUUAUCUAUGUACAAUAAACGUUUGGCGAGAUCCUCGUGAAAAGAAACGUCGAUCGAAAUCGGUCGUCGCUCGAGGUUCGCCGUAAGACUUCUAUCGCUGAUUUUUUUCAGGAUCGAUCAGCGCUAUAACUAAAAUUUACAUCUAGAUUAUUCAAGUUAUUUGCACGAGUUGUCGUUUGAAAGAUUUCCAAUAUUCAAAUAGGUUCGAGCGAAAAAUUUCCCCUCAUUUUUUUUCUUCCUCCAUUCCACUCUAAAACACGACUCUCGUUUUCGUUCUACAUUCCUGUAUGGCGACAUUAAAACUAAUCCGUUCACGUAUACCUUUUGGAAAGAGACGUUUCGAAAAAUAGCAUAAACGUCGAU